This 1150-nucleotide long non-coding RNA is filed under the name Homo sapiens (human). RNAcentral's name for it is "HSALNT0130446". Lineage: Eukaryota; Metazoa; Chordata; Mammalia; Primates; Hominidae. The record is from RNAcentral.
CGCGCCCGGCCGAUAACACAGUUUCAUUGUGAAGACAGGCGGCUUGUAGUAGCAAAAAUUGAAACCGAAAAUGGCGACGUUACACAUUCUCCAAAUCCCUACUAAUUUACAUACCUAUCAAUUUCAGAGGCAAUCUCGUGUAACCCUAAAGGAGGUUAUCUCUGGAGAGCUUGGAGCAGCUCCAAUUCAAGUUCAGAGAUCCAGGGAGCCCAGAAUGCACAGCGCCGCGGGGGUGCCUCCCGCCAGAAGGCGGCGCUGUGGGAUCCCAGCCCGAGCCGUGUCCAGGCACAGGAAAGGCAGAGCGUUCUCAGCAUGCCCUGCCUGUGCCCUGGGCAACGGCCGCCGCCGAGCGAGAUCCCGGGGUCGCGCAGGGUGGGGCUGGGGCUGAAGGGCGCAGGCCCCGCGUACGGGGGCCGCCCCUGCUUUUCCUCCGCGAGACCAGAGCUUAGACUACGGCAGGACUAGUCCCUGGGGUUCCCCUUCGGGUGUCAGACCCUCUCUGGGCGGUCGCGGGAGGGCUCGGGCUCGCAGGAUCUGCAGGUGUUGGGGCUGGGGCAGUGGGGAGUGGUCCGUGGGCCCAAGAGGACGAAGCGGAGUCGGGCGGUUCCGGCUGGGAGGAGGCGCCUCCCCGGGGCUGCCCUGACCUAGUAAAAUCUGUGGGGAAGCCCUGGCCGGGGAGCCUUCCCCCAGCUCGCUCCCUGGGGCCUGGACAAAAGGCCGGGAAGGAAACGCAGCCCUGGGCUCUGCGGUCUUUGGAACAGAGACUGCGACUUUUCAUCUUCGUUUCCCACCUAGUGUGGGGCCCCCGUGGGUGCUGUACAAAUGCUGUGGAAUCAAAGAAUCAGUGGAGGAGUCCCGCACGCACCCAUUGAUUUUACUCAGUCCAGAGUUUCCGGAGAGUGCCUGCUUCCCUAAGCGCAGCUUGUGGGCGGAGACUCUGCUGGAUGAGGUGCAGAUUGGGAGAAAGAACAGGAAAUUACGGUCUCGCUCUGUCACCCAGGCUGGAGUGCAGUGGUGCCAUGUCAGCCGACUGCAACCUCCGCCUCCCGGGUUCAAGCGAUUCUCGUGCCUCAGCUUCCCAAGCAGCUGGGAUUACAGGCGUGCGCCACCACGCCCGGCUAGUGUGUGUGUGUGUGUGUGUGUGUGUGUG